UCCAAAUAUAUGCGUUUUGCC
This 21-nucleotide non-coding RNA is filed under the name Arabidopsis thaliana (thale cress). The record is from RNAcentral. Lineage: Eukaryota; Viridiplantae; Streptophyta; Magnoliopsida; Brassicales; Brassicaceae.